GACGAACGCUGGCGGCGUGGAUUAGGCAUGCAAGUCGAACGGUAUCAUCCUUUCGGGGGUGAGAGAGUGGCGAACUGGUGAGUAACACGUAGGUUAUCUACCCUCAAGACGGGGACAACCCAGGGAAACUUGGGCUAAUACCGGAUGUGAGCAACUUUUAGUUGUUUGAAAGGUGGCGUAAGCUGUCGCUUGGGGAUGAGCCUGCGUCCUAUUAGUUAGUUGGUGAGGUAACGGCUCACCUAGGCAAUGAUAGGUAGGCGGCCUUAACGGGUGGUCGCCCACACUGGGAUUGAGAUACGGCCCAGACUCCUACGGGAGGCAGCAGUCGAGAAUAGUCUACAAUGGUCGGAAGACUGAUAGUGCGACGCCGCGUGAACGAUGAAUCCCUUCGGGGUGUAAAGUUCUUUUAUAUGUGAGCAGUGCUUCUUAUAUUAACAGUAUGGGGAAGAGAUAUUAGCAUAUGAAUAAGCAACGGCUAACUCCGUGCCAGCAGCCGCGGUAAAACG
RNAcentral lists this ribosomal RNA (506 nucleotides) under uncultured bacterium. RNAcentral's name for it is "bacterial SSU rRNA". It matches the Rfam family "Bacterial small subunit ribosomal RNA", at positions 28 to 527 of the family's 1533-position model. The record is from RNAcentral.